UACGGGGGGAGCAAGCGUUGUUCGGAUUUACUGGGCGUAAAGGGCGCGUAGGCGGCCAGCACAAGUCAGUUGUGAAAUCUCCGAGCUUAACUCGGAACGGUCAACUGAUACUGUGCGGCUAGAGUGCGGAAGGGGCAACUGGAAUUCUUGGUGUAGCGGUGAAAUGCGUAGAUAUCAGGAGGAACACCGAUGGCGAAGGCAGGUCUCUGGGCUGACACUGACGCUCAUGCACGAAAGCGUGGGGAGCAAACAGG
Molecule: ribosomal RNA, 254 nt
Filed under: uncultured bacterium
Lineage: Bacteria
Description: partial 16S ribosomal RNA
Rfam family: Bacterial small subunit ribosomal RNA
Source: RNAcentral